UACGGAGGGUGCAAGCGUUGUCCGGAUUUAUUGGGUUUAAAGGGUGCGUAGGCGGCUUUUUAAGUCAGCGGUGAAAUACUUCAGCUCAACUGGAGUCGUGCCGUUGAUACUGGGAAGCUUGAGUACUGAUGAAGUGGGCGGAAUUGAAGGUGUAGCGGUGAAAUGCAUAGAUAUCUUCAAGAACACCGAUUGCGAAGGCAGCUCACUAAGGAGUAACUGACGCUGAGGCACGAAAGCGUGGGUAGCAAACAGG
Molecule: ribosomal RNA, 253 nt
Filed under: uncultured bacterium
Lineage: Bacteria
Description: partial 16S ribosomal RNA
Rfam family: Bacterial small subunit ribosomal RNA
Source: RNAcentral